UUGCCUGUACAAUCAUUAUACCUUGGA
This 27-nucleotide non-coding RNA is filed under the name Homo sapiens (human). The record is from RNAcentral. Lineage: Eukaryota; Metazoa; Chordata; Mammalia; Primates; Hominidae.